Molecule: ribosomal RNA, 254 nt
Filed under: uncultured bacterium
Lineage: Bacteria
Description: partial 16S ribosomal RNA
Rfam family: Bacterial small subunit ribosomal RNA
Source: RNAcentral
UACGGGGGGAGCAAGCGUUGUUCGGAUUUACUGGGCGUAAAGGGCGCGUAGGCGGCCACCGCAAGUCGGUUGGGAAAUCUCCGGGCUUAACCCGGAAAGGUCAAUCGAUACUGCGGGGCUAGAGUGCAGAAGGGGCAACUGGAAUUCUCGGUGUAGCGGUGAAAUGCGUAGAUAUCGAGAGGAACACCUGCGGCGAAGGCGGGUUGCUGGGCUGACACUGACGCUGAAGCGCGAAAGCUAGGGGAGCGAACGGG